Miniopterus natalensis is the source of this 1073-nucleotide non-coding RNA. The record is from RefSeq and is a predicted model, not a curated record. NCBI's taxonomy places the organism in Eukaryota, Metazoa, Chordata, Mammalia, Chiroptera, Miniopteridae.
CUUUCCAUAGAGAGGGAGGCUGACUUGAACAUAGCGUCCUUGAAACCGUCUGCGUACUUAUUAAUUACCCUUUGUUUAUUUUAAUAUAUUUACUAAAUCAGGUACCCAAGGGAAUCCUCUACAUCAGUGAUGUGAGAAAUCCUGUUGCCUGAAGUCAAAGAGAGCCCAUCAAAAUAUUUUAACAGAAAUGGUGAAUCAGGUGUUCUCAUGCAAAGGACAUGUGAAAACACAGACUGUAAGUUUGGAUUUCUGGCACCUCUGUUUGAAAAGCUCGGGUGAAAGCAGUGGCCAGUCUUGACUCUGUCUUCACUACAGGCCCCUGGGGUCUCUAAAGACACAGUCUUUAGAGGGAGUCCCCUCCUGUGAGACAGCAAACUGUACGGUGCGCAGAUUUGGAGAGAGGACCAAUCGAUCCAUCACAACUUCAUGAGUGUGUCUUAGGCAAAUGACAUCAGUGUAUUUGUUGGCACUGAGAAAAUAGGAGGAAAUAAUUCUGUUUAAAGUGUCUUAUUACUGGGACUUACUUAAUUGUUUGCUGUUGUUGUUUGUUUAGAUGAUGCUCCCCCUAACCACCACCACCACACCCCCUUUUCGUGCCAGGCUGUUUUUCUUUCUGUGGGCACCGGCCCACUACUGAGCUGAUUUAAUCUAUUAAUUACAGCAGAGCAGGUACAGAGUAACUAGCCUAAUGAGGCCAUAUGCACUCAUAUUAUUUUUAGUCAUCUCUAGGAUCCUACUGAGGGGACAACUUGAAGAAAGAAAGACACAUUAUGUGUGUAGGGGGGGAAAAGAAGAAGGAACUUUUGCCAAAGUACAGCACUCAUUACUUAAAACUAAAUGAUGCUUCUGUAAAGAGCUUUUGUUUUAAAAGCACACAUCCAGUUACCUGCCAAAAUCUCAGAUUUACUGCUCCCGUUCGCAGAUGCCAAUGUUGAACUCCUUUCACCUGCCACUUGCUGAGUCUUUCAUUUCCUCAAUCCAAAAAUUACCGUAGAGUUGUUGUUUAGUGUCUACGUUUUUUGGCUUUUCCUGGCACCUAAUGAAAUUAUCAGCAAUAAAUGAGCUAAGCAGAA